Non-coding RNA from Vicugna pacos (alpaca), 1229 nucleotides. NCBI's taxonomy places the organism in Eukaryota, Metazoa, Chordata, Mammalia, Artiodactyla, Camelidae. The record is from RefSeq and is a predicted model, not a curated record.
GAGUGGGUGGAGCAUGCGUAUUACGAGGCGGGCGCCCGGCCGAUGACAUAAAAGGCGGGCUCGAGGAGCCGCUCGCGGCGUUUGUGCUGCUGCGGCGUGGGUAUGGCGUCUCGUGGGCGGAGACCGGAGCACAGCGGGCCCCCGGAGCUGUUUUACGACAAGAAUGAAGCCCGGAAAUACGUGCGCAACUCACGGAUGAUUGAUGUUCAAACCAAAAUGGCUGGGCGAGCAUUGGAGCUCCUUUAUCUGCCUGUGGAUCAGCCUUGUUACCUGUUGGAUAUUGGCUGCGGUUCUGGGCUGAGUGGAGAUUACCUCUCGGAUGAGGGGCACUACUGGGUGGGCAUUGAUAUCAGCCCUGCCAUGCUGGAUGCUGCCUUGGACAGAGAAACGGAAGGAGACUUGCUUCUGGGGGACAUGGGUCAGGGCAUCCCCUUCAAACCAGGCUCCUUUGAUGGUUGUAUCAGCAUUUCGGCUGUACAGUGGCUCUGUAAUGCUAACAAGAAGUCUGACAUUCCUGCCAAGCGGCUGUACUGCUUUUUUUCUUCUCUUUAUUCUGUUCUGGUCCGGGGAGCCAGAGCUGUCCUGCAGCUGUACCCUGAGAACUCAGAGCAGUUGGAGCUGAUCACAACCCAGGCCACCAAGGCUGGCUUCACUGGUGGUGUGGUGGUGGACUACCCCAACAGCGCCAAAGCCAAGAAGUUCUACCUCUGUUUGUUUUCUGGACCUACGACCUUUAUACCAAAGGGCCUGGAUGAAGAUGAGGAAGAGGAGGCCAGGGAGUCCACGUUCACGACUGAGAGACUUCUAGGACAUUUAAGAGGCAAGAGGGGCAGACGAUGGAUGAAUUUGGAAAUCCCACGAAUGGUGAAAAUCAUGAGUGUGGCCCUUCUGUCCACCACGGGUUGGUGCCCUCUGGCCCUCUGGGGUCCUCUCCCUUACCUUCCCCAGCCCAUUCCCCACAGGGACUUGGGGGCCUCUCCCAGAUGUUUCUGCUCUAAGGUGCCCAUCACUUGCUCACAGGGAGUGGUCCCACCUGCUGCUCCAUGGGGAAGGUACAAGUGACUCCCUCCGUCCAUCUUAGGCUCCCUCUUGUCCUCAUACUGGUGCCUACAGAUGACAUGUCCUAACUGUAAACUUAGGGUCCCAUGUAGGAUGCUGAGACGGGGGCUGGUGAGGAAGAGCCGAGGGUGGGUGCUGGAGAAGAAGGCGCGGCGCCGGCGGCAGGGCAA